This 459-nucleotide ribosomal RNA is filed under the name Macrocheles subbadius. RNAcentral's name for it is "bacterial SSU rRNA". It matches the Rfam family "Eukaryotic small subunit ribosomal RNA", at positions 1165 to 1651 of the family's 1831-position model. The record is from RNAcentral. Lineage: Eukaryota; Metazoa; Arthropoda; Arachnida; Mesostigmata; Macrochelidae.
CACCACCAGGAGUGGAGCCUGCGGCUUAAUUUGACUCAACACGGGAAAACUUACCUGGUCCUGACACUAGAAGGAUUGACAGAUUGAUAGCUCUUUCUUGAUUUGGUGGAUGGUGGUGCAUGGCCGUUCUUAGUUGGUGGAGUGAUUUGUCUGGUUAAUUCCGAUAACGAACGAGACUCUAGCCUAUUAAAUAACACACAGAAUCAUGUCUUCUGCGGUGUUUCUUAAUGGGAUCAAGUGUGUUUAACACUUUGAAACAGAGCAAUAACAGGUCUGUGAUGCCCUUAGAUGUUCGGGGCCGCACGCGCGCUACAUUGAAAGACAAAAUGAGCGUUUCUGGUUUUUAACAAAACUAGUAAUCUUUGAAUGUUUUUCUUAAUGGGGAUAGGGGAUUGCAAUUGUGCCCCUUGAACGAGGAAUUCCCAGUAAGUGCUAGUCAUUAGCUAGUACUGAUACUUC